RNAcentral lists this ribosomal RNA (433 nucleotides) under uncultured bacterium. RNAcentral's name for it is "partial 16S ribosomal RNA". It matches the Rfam family "Bacterial small subunit ribosomal RNA", at positions 29 to 507 of the family's 1533-position model. The record is from RNAcentral.
AACGAACGCUGGCGGCAUGCCUAACACAUGCAAGUCGAACGAGACCUUCGGGUCUAGUGGCGCACGGGUGCGUAACGCGUGGGAACCUGCCCUUAGGUUCGGAAUAACUCCCCGAAAGGGGUGCUAAUACCGGAUAAUGUCUUCGGACCAAAGAUUUAUCGCCUUUGGAUGGGCCCGCGUUGGAUUAGCUAGUUGGUAGGGUAAAAGCCUACCAAGGCGACGAUCCAUAGCUGGUCUGAGAGGAUGAUCAGCCACACUGGGACUGAGACACGGCCCAGACUCCUACGGGAGGCAGCAGUGGGGAAUAUUGGACAAUGGGCGAAAGCCUGAUCCAGCAAUGCCGCGUGAGUGAUGAAGGCGUUAGGGUUGUAAAGCUCUUUUACCCGGGACGAUAAUGACAGUACCGGGAGAAUAAGCUCCGGCUAACUCCGUG